ACAACUCCGACUCUACAUCGACUGAAUAUGCGGUUUCGACUCUUCAUCGACCAACCGAACAAACUACACCAACCUAUUGCCGACUGACCGACUAAUGAUUCAAUUACUACCGAUCGACAGUGGAUGACUUAAACCAUCGGCAUAACAGAACUACUAGCCGAUGGUCGCUUAUGAAUUCUACUGACAUAUGGUCGGUUCUACCGAUAUAUGAUCGGUCAGUCAACUCAGAUAUACCAUAACCAUCAUGAACGGUUACCGACCGUAUAUC
This 268-nucleotide long non-coding RNA is filed under the name Elaeis guineensis (African oil palm). Its description in RNAcentral is "long non-coding RNA (EGUI_LNC013848)". Lineage: Eukaryota; Viridiplantae; Streptophyta; Magnoliopsida; Arecales; Arecaceae. The record is from RNAcentral.